RNAcentral lists this ribosomal RNA (697 nucleotides) under Corynebacterium sanguinis. RNAcentral's name for it is "partial 23S ribosomal RNA". It matches the Rfam family "Bacterial large subunit ribosomal RNA", at positions 1723 to 2392 of the family's 2925-position model. The record is from RNAcentral. Lineage: Bacteria; Bacillati; Actinomycetota; Actinomycetes; Mycobacteriales; Corynebacteriaceae.
UACCCCCGUAACUUCGGGAGAAGGGGGACCUCUACCGGUGCGCAGCUUUUACGGUUGUUGUGCUGGUGGGGGUCGCAGAGAAUAGAGGGGAGCGACUGUUUAUCAAAAACACAGGUCCGUGCGAAGACGUGAUGUUGAUGUAUACGGACUGACGCCUGCCCGGUGCUGGAAGGUUAAGAGGACCUGUUAGAGCCCUUGUGGUUCGAAGCGGAGAAUUUAAGCCCCAGUAAACGGCGGUGGUAACUAUAACCAUCCUAAGGUAGCGAAAUUCCUUGUCGGGUAAGUUCCGACCUGCACGAAUGGCGUAACGACUCCCCUGCUGUCUCAACCACAGGCCCGGUGAAAUUGCAGUACGAGUAAAGAUGCUCGUUUCGCGCGGCAGGACGAAAAGACCCCGGGACCUUCACUAUAGCUUGGUAUUGGUGUUCGGUGCGGUUUGUGUAGGAUAGGUGGGAGACUGUGAAGCCGUCACGCUAGUGGUGGUGGAGUCGUUGUUGAAAUACCACUCUGACCGUAGUGGAUACCUUAACCUUGGCCCAUGAUCUGGGUUGGGGACAGUGCCUGGUGGGUAGUUUAACUGGGGCGGUUGCCUCCCAAAGAGUAACGGAGGCGCCCAAAGGUUCCCUCAGCCUGGUUGGCAAUCAGGUGUAAGAGUGUAAGUGCACAAGGGAGCUUGACUGUGAGACGUACAUGUCGA